AAGGUGAAAAUCCAGUUGAAAUGAUUCUUGUUAUGACUGUGAAACUUGGAUUUGGUGGGCAGAAGUUCAUGCCAGAUAUAAUGAAUAAGGUGUGCAUGCUGAGAGAGAAGUCCCAAAACUUGAUAUAGAGGAAUUUGCUUUAUGUCUAAUGAGUUGGACUGAAUCUCAUCUAUCGGUAGAACCGAAUUAAUUGUUCACGUGAUUCAUAUGAWUKUUCCACACUCGAUUCAAGGGGGGAAUGAUGCAUUUUAGAAUGAGAUUAGCAAGGUGGAUGAUUAAGGUUUACAUUGCUAUGUUUUCAUGCAUGGUUGGUGUGUAGGUUUACUUUAAUCCAUAGUGAAGACUACCUUGAGAGUUUGUAUCACUGUUGCUUACUAAGUCUUAGCUGAAAUAUAUUUUGAGUAGACACAUUCUUUUUAUAAAAUUAGUUUAUGUAUAGUUUUGUAAUUU
This is a long non-coding RNA of Cynara cardunculus var. scolymus (artichoke), 450 nucleotides long. RefSeq lists it as uncharacterized. The transcript has 5 exons. The record is from RefSeq and is a predicted model, not a curated record. Lineage: Eukaryota; Viridiplantae; Streptophyta; Magnoliopsida; Asterales; Asteraceae.